This 826-nucleotide ribosomal RNA is filed under the name Alteromonadales bacterium. Its description in RNAcentral is "bacterial SSU rRNA". It matches the Rfam family "Bacterial small subunit ribosomal RNA", at positions 659 to 1484 of the family's 1533-position model. Lineage: Bacteria; Pseudomonadati; Pseudomonadota; Gammaproteobacteria; Alteromonadales. The record is from RNAcentral.
UGGUAGAAUUUCAGGUGUAGCGGUGAAAUGCGUAGAGAUCUGAAGGAAUACCAGUGGCGAAGGCGGCCACCUGGACAAAGACUGACACUGAGGCGCGAAGGCGUGGGGAGCAAACGGGAUUAGAUACCCCGGUAGUCCACGCAGUAAACGAUGUCUAUUAGAAGUUUGUGGCUAUAUGCCGUGGGUUUCAAAGCUAACGCAUUAAAUAGACCGCCUGGGGAGUACGGCCGCAAGGUUAAAACUCAAAUGAAUUGACGGGGGCCCGCACAAGCGGUGGAGCAUGUGGUUUAAUUCGAUGCAACGCGAAGAACCUUACCAUCCCUUGACAUCCAGAGAAUCACCUAGAGAUAGAUGAGUGCCUUCGGGAACUCUGAGACAGGUGCUGCAUGGCUGUCGUCAGCUCGUGUUGUGAAAUGUUGGGUUAAGUCCCGCAACGAGCGCAACCCUUAUCCUUAGUUGCCAGCACGUAAUGGUGGGAACUCUAGGGAGACUGCCGGUGAUAAACCGGAGGAAGGUGGGGACGACGUCAAGUCAUCAUGGCCCUUACGGGAUGGGCUACACACGUGCUACAAUGGCAAAUACAAAGGGUUGCUAACCUGCGAGGGUAUGCGAAUCUCAUAAAGUUUGUCGUAGUCCGGAUCGGAGUCUGCAACUCGACUCCGUGAAGUUGGAAUCGCUAGUAAUCGUGGAUCAGAAUGCCACGGUGAAUACGUUCCCGGGCCUUGUACACACCGCCCGUCACACCAUGGGAGUGGGCUGCACCAGAAGUCAUUAGCUUAACCUUCGGGAUGGCGAUGACCACGGUGUGGUUCAUGACUGGGGUGAA